AUAUUAGGAAACUAAGCAAGCACUGACAACCUGAAACCCAGAGGCUAUGGUAGGUACCAUAAUAACCCUAAAAUUAUUAGGAAAGGUAACAGCACAAAAGAAGCCGUUGGGUGCAGAAGAUGAGAUGAGCAGAACAAGCAGGAACAGUGAAACUUCAGGCACUGUGCAGUGACUGGAAUCAAAGGUAGCAGCAGGCAAUUAUAGUCUGUUAGACUAAUGCGGCCAAGACAAGAAGGAUGUGAAGUGUGUGAUCAACACAGAGGAUCAACACAAUUGAUCCUCUAAAGGGCCUUCAAUAAUAAAAGAAAACAGGGAAGUUAAACAGUGUGGGGAUAACCUGUUUGCUUCAUCACUGGUAUCUAGAGUUGUUUUUGCUAGUACAGCGUAGUCUGCCUGGCAUCUGUUUGCCACCCUAGUGAAGUGUCAGUCUGCCUUAGGUCCUGCGUCACACCUGCUAUUUCCGUGCAGAUGUCUUGGAUACCUCAGGGCCUCUCAAAUGGCACUGGGCGUCGAGCGUGGGCAGAGGAAUCCUGUCCUUUGCUGUGUGGAAGAACAUGCUCUUGAAGGGCCACAACAGCGUGGUAAUGGCUGCAGCCAAGUGUGGCAGCAGUGAGCAACAAGGAGAAAUUUUGAAAGUGAAUCUGUACACGCUUCGUGAACUGAAGACUUCCAUUGUGCCAGGUAGCUGUGAGUGAAGUUGCUGCAUGACAGAGAAUGUGAAUGAUGCCAUUAAAUUGGAGUCAGAGUUACCAUCCCUGGGCUCCUCAACUAGAACAUAUGGAACAUGCUGUUGCCUCUGUGUCUUUCCUGCACUCGGAAUGCUGGCAGACUCAUGAUGGUCUCUUUAUCAGACAGCUGGAUGAUGCCAGCACCAAGCUGGAGAUGGAAGUGCUCAGACCCUGCAGCAAUGAGACUAAUAUUAAGAGCCCUGAUAACAUCAGACACCACCCUCCAUUAUAUCACAAUUUCGUUUCCAUCUUCAUGCUCAACUUUAUUAUAAUAAAGAGCUUGUGGAGGUUCCUGACUGCUGGAAAACCAAGAUGCCAAAGAGAGCCAAAGCUAUUUGACUAUGCAUAAUGGUUGACUUUUCAAGGCAUUCUGGAUUUCAAAUACAACCUACAAUACAAUAACCAGCAACUUCUUCAACACAGGCAAGUGAGAAUACAACAAUUUUUUUCAUUAGUCGUUACAAACUUGAGCCAAAUUUAAACUGACAACAUGCAGGUGAGAAACACAGGGCCUGAAUUUCCAGCACUGCGUAUUCCACCAGCAUUU
RNAcentral lists this long non-coding RNA (1275 nucleotides) under Numida meleagris (helmeted guineafowl). Its description in RNAcentral is "lncRNA (ENSNMEG00000013842.1)". Lineage: Eukaryota; Metazoa; Chordata; Aves; Galliformes; Numididae. The record is from RNAcentral.